This 501-nucleotide ribosomal RNA is filed under the name uncultured bacterium. Its description in RNAcentral is "partial 16S ribosomal RNA". It matches the Rfam family "Bacterial small subunit ribosomal RNA", at positions 30 to 523 of the family's 1533-position model. The record is from RNAcentral.
AUUGAACGCUGGCGGCAUGCCUUACACAUGCAAGUCGAACGGCAGCACGGGUGCUUGCACCUGGUGGCGAGUGGCGAACGGGUGAGUAAUAUAUCGGAACGUACCUUAUUGUGGGGGAUAACGCAGCGAAAGCUGUGCUAAUACCGCAUAAUCCCUAAGGGGGAAAGCGGGGGACCGUAAGGCCUCGCGCAAUUAGAGCGGCCGAUACCUGAUUAGCUAGUUGGUGAGGUAAAGGCUCACCAAGGCAACGAUCAGUAGCUGGUCUGAGAGGAUGAUCAGCCACACUGGGACUGAGACACGGCCCAGACUCCUACGGGAGGCAGCAGUGGGGAAUUUUGGACAAUGGGGGCAACCCUGAUCCAGCAAUGCCGCGUGAGUGAAGAAGUCCUUCGGGUUGUAAAGCUCUUUUGUCAGGGAAGAAACAGCAGCUCUAACACAGUUUGCGAAUGACGGUACCUGAAGAAUAAGCACCGGCUAACUACGUGCCAGCAGCCGCAGUAA